GCGCUGGAGGCGCUGGGAUACACCGAGGAGUGGUUGCAGUCCGGUCUCCUCGAUCGUCGGCUGCUCGCCGAUCAGUACGAGCGAUUCCGGGCCGGUGGCACCCGGAAGGGGGUUCGAGUCCCUCCCAGCGCACCA
RNAcentral lists this transfer RNA (135 nucleotides) under Pseudomonadota bacterium. RNAcentral's name for it is "Proteobacteria bacterium tRNA-OTHER". The record is from RNAcentral. Lineage: Bacteria; Pseudomonadati; Pseudomonadota.